CACGUAGGCACCAAGCGUUGUCUGGAUUUAUUGGGCGUAAAGAGCUCGUAGGCGGUUCAGUAAGUCGGGUGUGAAAACUCUGGGCUUAACCCAGAGCCGCCACCCGAUACUGCUGUGACUAGAGUCCGGUAGGGGAGUGGGGAAUCCCUAGUGUAGCGGUGAAAUGCGCAGAUAUUAGGAGGAACACCGGUGGCGAAGGCGCCACUCUGGGCCGGAACUGACGCUGAGGAGCGAAAGCGUGGGUAGCAAACAGG
Molecule: ribosomal RNA, 254 nt
Filed under: uncultured bacterium
Lineage: Bacteria
Description: partial 16S ribosomal RNA
Rfam family: Bacterial small subunit ribosomal RNA
Source: RNAcentral